GUUAUCGACCACAGCCGUGACGAACUGUUCACUAAUGCCGGUCUGAAGCAGUUCAUGGAUAAAUACUCUAGACGUAAUAUC
RNAcentral lists this transfer RNA (81 nucleotides) under Klebsiella phage vB_KpnS_Uniso31. RNAcentral describes it as "tRNA-Met". Lineage: Duplodnaviria; Heunggongvirae; Uroviricota; Caudoviricetes; Demerecviridae. The record is from RNAcentral.